Molecule: ribosomal RNA, 254 nt
Filed under: uncultured bacterium
Lineage: Bacteria
Description: partial 16S ribosomal RNA
Rfam family: Bacterial small subunit ribosomal RNA
Source: RNAcentral
UACGUAGGGCGCGAGCGUUAUCCGGAAUUAUUGGGCGUAAAGAGCUCGUAGGCGGUUCCGUAAGUCAGAUGUGAAAACUCAGGGCUCAACCCGGAGACGCCAUCUGAUACUGCGGUGACUGGAGUCUGGUAGGGGAACACGGAAUUCCUGGUGUAGCGGUGAAAUGCGCAGAUAUCAGGAGGAACACCGAUGGCGAAGGCAGUGUUCUGGGCCAGUACUGACGCUGAGGAGCGAAAGCGUGGGGAGCAAACAGG